GAUGAACGCUGGCGGCGUGCCUAAUACAUGCAAGUCGAGCGAACAGACGAGGAGCUUGCUCCUCUGACGUUAGCGGCGGACGGGUGAGUAACACGUGGAUAACCUACCUAUAAGACUGGGAUAACUUCGGGAAACCGGAGCUAAUACCGGAUAAUAUAUUGAACCGCAUGGUUCAAUAGUGAAAGACGGUUUUGCUGUCACUUAUAGAUGGAUCCGCGCCGCAUUAGCUAGUUGGUAAGGUAACGGCUUACCAAGGCAACGAUGCGUAGCCGACCUGAGAGGGGGAUCGGCCACACUGGAACUGAGACACGGUCCAGGCUCCUACGGGAGGCAGCAGUAGGGAAUCUUCCGCAAUGGGCGAAAGCCUGACGGAGCAACGCGGCGUGAGUGAUGAAGGUCUUCGGAUCGUAAAACUCUGUUAUUAGGGAAGAACAAAUGUGUAAGUAACUAUGCACGUCUUGACGGUACCUAAUCAGAAAGCCACGGCUAACUACGU
RNAcentral lists this ribosomal RNA (496 nucleotides) under uncultured bacterium. Its description in RNAcentral is "partial 16S ribosomal RNA". It matches the Rfam family "Bacterial small subunit ribosomal RNA", at positions 28 to 506 of the family's 1533-position model. The record is from RNAcentral.